GUUCCCGGGAUCAUGUAGCAGCAGCGUUUCCCGGAUUACGGAAAACCACAACACACACCUGGCACCAGGCUUCACCCUUAACGACCUCGUUCCAGCGCCAGCGAACGUGGUUGUUCUCCCGGGUCCACUGGGGCCUUGCCUUUGGGGGACCCACACAGCCUCUACCCGAUGUCCUCGCAGCAGGGGAACUGCCUCUCUCCGUGUGGCCCGAAGAACCCUGGACUCCGCUCUGCUCCUGGGGAUUCGCCCUUCCCACCAGAGCACCACCAGAACUUCUGGUGCUGGUGGCCACCUGGGAUCUACCUCUAAGUUCCUGCUGCCAGACUGGCCCAUGGAACAUUCUCCGUGUGAUGGCUGUCCUGGCUGCCCAACUAGAAGAAUGCAGGUCUAUGGGAAGUCAGAGGCUGUGUUUAUUCGCCUGGAUCUCAUCUCGCACGGUGCCGGGCACACGAGGAGUAUUGAGUGCCUGUAUGCCAAAUAGAUGAGUGCCUCGAAACCACCACCCUCUCAAUCACUUUACAGAGGAAGAAGCUGGAGUCCACAGAGCUUCUUCCAAUCCAGGCUGAGAAAGGGGCCCAUGAAGUGCUGCUGGGAUGAGGACCUGGGUCUCGUUCAAGAGCAAGGGCACACACGUCCCUGGGUCUGCGCCUAACACUACUGCGUAUGGCUCCAGGCCAAAUCUCCAAAUGAAAUCAGGCCGGGGAGAAAUGAACAACCGAGAUGCACAAAACAAUGUGAAGAAGAAACGAAUAAUAAUAUAAAAAAAAAGCCGGUGGUUGAAGCCCAAGAUGAGCCGUGGGAGGGGCUCAGGACAUGACACGUGUCAGGGGUGGACUGCUGUGUGCCAACAGUGGUGAUGAUUGACAACAUCGAACAGCGUUCUGGACACCUUCCUCCUUCACAGUUCCAAAAGCACAUUUAUUUGCUGUGCCUCUCACCCCCUGCCCUGCACUGCCUGGCGUGGGGUGCUGCCCACAGUGGGUGCUCAAUCAAUGCUGCAGGCUGAUUGGUGAUUGGCAUCAGCAGUUUUGACUCCACGCCGGGAGUCGAGUCUCCAGCCCUGGACUAACUACCCAGCACCCUUUUAUGGGAGCUGAUUUGGGGGAGACUAGCCUUGAGGUGAGACAGCAGCAGAGCUUCUCGAAUGGAAAGGUCUUCGAAGAGAAGGGCUGGGGGCCUGCCGGGAGCCACCUCGCCUCUGCUACGGGCUUUCUCAGUCCAGCCAACGGAGAGGCUCCAGACAGCUUCCGCAGCCCAGGAGCUUUGACUUCGCACUCAAGUCCAUGUCUUGAGCCUAAACGUAAGUUCCAUUUCUUCUUGCUUGGUCCUCAGUGGAUUUGGAGAACCCCCCUUUCACUGGAGCCCCGAUUACCGGAAUACACAACCCAGCAAACCUGUAGAGAGUCUUUCCUGAGAGUUCUGGGAGGAAGGACAAGAUACCCUUGCCUCUUAGGGUUCGGUGAGGAGCAGGCUGGCCUCCAGGUAGGACCUAGUGUGGGCAGACUUCUACAUACCCCUAGGGUUUUCUGGUUUUCAGUAACAGAGAGCUAUUGCUAGCAGUGAGUCUCAGAGGACAAGCUCAAAUCCUGUCCUGGUGAAUGAGGAGGACAAGGAAGUGGCAGCAGCGAGUAGUGGAGACCUUACUACAAAGAAGCCUAGGGCCCAGGCGGUACUCAGUAUUCUGUUUUUCAGACCCAUUAGAGCACCCCAGUGUGCCCUCUGUUCCUCCUUCCACUUGGCCCAGGUGGCCAGGACCCAGGCUGCCUUCUGGGCUCUCAAAAGUGACCCCUCGGUAUCUGAUCUCCCAUCUGCUGGGCUAGGCAUGUGGAAGAGACAGCUGGCACAGCCCCUCCCGGGGGACUGCAAUUAGGGGAUAUUUAAUCCUGUCACCUGGUUCAUUUGCAGUGAUGGAUUUGGAUUGGAGCGCUGAGUGGCUCCAAGAGGAUAUUGGAUUACCAGGGCCCAUCCCCUUCACCCCUCACACAGAGCUGGCCCACCCCUGCCCUGCACCUGUCUUCCCUGGCCCCAAGGUGAGCCACCUGGCUCCCAUGAAUUAAGAGCAAGCACUUGGUGUCUCCUCUCCCCCUGCC
This is a long non-coding RNA of Leopardus geoffroyi (Geoffroy's cat), 2090 nucleotides long. RefSeq lists it as uncharacterized. NCBI's taxonomy places the organism in Eukaryota, Metazoa, Chordata, Mammalia, Carnivora, Felidae. The transcript is spliced from 8 exons. The record is from RefSeq and is a predicted model, not a curated record.